This 388-nucleotide ribosomal RNA is filed under the name uncultured bacterium. RNAcentral describes it as "bacterial SSU rRNA". It matches the Rfam family "Bacterial small subunit ribosomal RNA", at positions 28 to 417 of the family's 1533-position model. The record is from RNAcentral.
GACGAACGCUGGCGGCGUGCUUAACACAUGCAAGUCGAGCGGUAAGGCCCUUUCGGGGGUACACGAGCGGCGAACGGGUGAGUAACACGUGGGUGACCUGCCCUCAGCUCUGGGAUAAGCCUGGGAAACCGGGUCUAAUACUGGAUAUGACUCCAUGACGCAUGUUGUGGGGUGGAAAGCCUUGUGCGGCUGAGGAUGGGCCCGCGGCCUGUCAGCUUGUUGGUGGGGUGAUGGCCUACCAAGGCGACGACGGGUAGCCGGCCUGAGAGGGCGACCGGCCACACUGGGACUGAGACACGGCCCAGACUCCUACGGGAGGCAGCAGUGGGGAAUCUUGCGCAAUGGGCGAAAGCCUGACGCAGCGACGCCGCGUGAGGGAUGACGGCCU